UAGAUCAGUUGGUAGAGCAUGGUGUUUGCAACGCCAGGGGUUGUGGGUUCGAUUCCCAC
This 59-nucleotide transfer RNA is filed under the name Salmo salar (Atlantic salmon). It matches the Rfam family "tRNA", at positions 8 to 63 of the family's 71-position model. Rfam says of the family: Transfer RNA (tRNA) molecules are approximately 80 nucleotides in length. Their secondary structure includes four short double-helical elements and three loops (D, anti-codon, and T loops). The record is from Rfam by way of RNAcentral. Lineage: Eukaryota; Metazoa; Chordata; Actinopteri; Salmoniformes; Salmonidae.